Molecule: ribosomal RNA, 414 nt
Filed under: uncultured Vampirovibrio sp.
Lineage: Bacteria; Bacillati; Candidatus Melainabacteria; Vampirovibriophyceae; Vampirovibrionales; Vampirovibrionaceae
Description: bacterial SSU rRNA
Rfam family: Bacterial small subunit ribosomal RNA
Source: RNAcentral
UAGGGAAUUUUGCGCAAUGGGCGAAAGCCUGACGCAGCAACACCGCGUGAAUGUUAAGCCCUUCGGGGUGUAAAGUUCUGUCAGUAGGGAAGAACAAAUGACUGUACCUACAAAGGAAGCACCGGCUAACUCCGUGCCAGCAGCCGCGGUAAUACGGGGGGUGGCAAGCGUUGUCCGGAAUCAUUGGGCGUAAAGCGUUCGUAGGCGGCAAGAUAAGUCAGAUGUUAAAGCCCGGGGCUCAACUCCGGUUCGGCAUUUGAUACUAUCUAGCUAGAAUGCGGUAGAGGUAAAGGGAAUUCCUGGUGUAGCGGUGAAAUGCGUAGAUAUCAGGAGGAACAUCGGUGGCGAAAGCGCUUUACUGGGCCGUUAUUGACGCUGAGGAACGAAAGCUAGGGGAGCAAACAGGAUUAGAUA